RNAcentral lists this long non-coding RNA (214 nucleotides) under Drosophila guanche. Lineage: Eukaryota; Metazoa; Arthropoda; Insecta; Diptera; Drosophilidae. The record is from RNAcentral.
GGGUGCUAGAGAGCUAGAGCGAGCGGUUGUGUGAUGAGCGCUUCCGCUUCCGCUGCUAGUGGGGCAAUUAUACUGCUACUAAAACCGUUCGAGCGCAAAUAAAUACCAAGAACAACAAAAAAAAACAACAACAAAACACUAACCAUUGAGCAGCGUGGAAAGAGAGAGACAGCAGUGAGAGAGUUUAGGCCGAGCAGACUAAUUGUUACCCAGC